GGCGGAGGCCAGCGGGCCCGCGGCGGGGCCGGGCCGGGCCGGGCUCUUCCUCGCGUGGUGCCCCGGUCCGCGGCGGAGGGGUCGGUGGGAGCCCUGCCCGGUCCCCCGGGCACAGCUCUGCCGCCCUUCGCCCGCCGGAGCAGCCCCGGGGCGGCGCGGCCUGUUGGGGGGUCUCCGAAAGAGGCCCUCGGGGAGCCCCGCUGCGGCGGGGCCGGGCGUGAGGGGAGAAACGAAAAUACGAACGCCUGCAGGAGAAAAAACAGCUACCUCUGGUGGGAUUUGUAGAAACUUGUCUUCUCUGAGCAUCUGACAGCCUAGCGAGACAUGAGCAAGAAAAGAUAGCUUUUGAACACUACCAGGUAAAUGGCUUGUCUGGUACGUCAUCAUCAGGACUCCAAGAUGCUCCACAACACCUGACUGGCAGGAGAAACCCACUAGACUUGCAUGGAGUCUUACCUUUCUUCCUCGUUCUCAGGCUAAUGCCUUGCUCUGUGUCAGCAACAGGAAUUUUGGAUUUGAACAGUCACCUCUUGUGCAAACAAUCCAUAUUUCUGUGUGUACAUAUACAUCCCUGUGUGUAUAUGCUCAGACGGUACAUACUGGUUGCAAAGCUGCCCUUUCCGGGUAGCAGGCAGGAGGACCCUUUGCACAGAAAAGGGAGUGGGAUUUGCCUCUGUCUGGCUUGUCAAGGUCAGUCACGAAGUCUGAAGCAAAGCCAGGAGGAGUAUCCAGAUCUCCUGACUCUCUGGUUUUGCCACAGGGCUGCUGCUUCAUCCUUUUCUUUUCAGUUGCCAGUAGAAUAUGUUGUUUACAACGUGUUUGUGAAAAAUUGUAAUUGACUUAUGACAGAGUCAGAAAAAGGGUAAAAAAUAAACUGAGGUUUGCUUGGCUUGUUAACCAGACCAAUGGUCUCACUCCGCACUUUUGGGCACUCCAGCCAGCAUGAGGAGGAUGAACUGCAGGCAUUGGAGCCAGGGAGUAAUUCGCAGUGUGUGAGCAGUGCACUGAGCUCAGUAAUGCUGUUUGCACCUACAGGUUUGCCUGUCCUGAGCCUUGGCAAAGCUGAGAUCUGUGGAAGUUCUGGGCACAGGCAUGAAGAGGUAUUAAAGUUUUGAGUCUUGUGGAAGAAGGAUUGCAAAUGCAGAACUAACGAAGGAAUUUCUUUUCCCCUCACCUCACUUUAAAGGCUAUGAACUGAAAGGCAGCAGUUGGUAGAGGCAAGUAGAGAACCAGCUAAUGUAAUUGUUAUAGCUGCCUUGUCGUGCGCUGCAGCUAUGAUAGUGUACAACAGCUGGGAAUCUUCCCAAAUAUUAGAUCAUUUUAGUUUAUACAAAAAUAGCAGUUUAGACUGAUACUUGUUAGCCCUGGUGUGAGUUGUUGGUGUUUCUUUAAGCCUUUAUGAAACACAUUUUAAAAUGGGUUACAUCCACAGGGAUGUAGCCAGUAUUAUUCAUUCUUAUUCCACUCCUUUAUUGGGUUUUUUUUUAUUAUUUGGGCUUUUUUUCUUUGUUUUUUUAAUUUGUUGGGGGGUUUUGUAGACAUUCUAGGAUAUUCUAUGCAGUGGAAUAUUUCCAGGCCUCUUUUACUAUCAGUGUUGCCUUUAAAACUAAAGUAAUUACUUGUGUUUGAAAUCAUUAUUUGUAUUUGUUUUUAAAAUUUUAACUUCCACAGAAUAUAUUAUCUUAACAGUGUUUUAUAAUAGGAAGAAUGAUUUUGAAAAUGGCAAUUACAAAGCUAUUGAUAGAAAAGUACUGAUUACUGUAUGCAACCUGAGUCAAUAGUCCAUGCUUAAUUAUAAUGAGGCCCAAGUGCAACCCACUGCAAGGCCAAGGCAAAUGUGUGUUUUGGAUGGCAGAGAAAACAACAGAAAGAUAAAAGAUCUUCCGUCUCAAUUUUAUGUCCGGCAGAGAAUGAGAUCUGAAAAUGGGAGAAUAUUUUGUGUGUGGUGACUUCUUCCGUUGAUCUGUGCCCAUUUAACUUCUAAAGUUGCCUUUCCUUAUAGGAGAAGAGCAACUCCCUGGGGUUGUGGCAGUACAAUUGCUCUGCAUUUCUCAGUUUGUGCUGCAGAUACCAGAGGUGAAGAUGGUAUUCCAGCUGUAAUAAUACGAAGCCCAAAUACAGACAUGAUAUUUGCUUAUUUUGCUGAUGCCACGGCCAAAGAACCUGUUUAGCCCUCGCAGAUACUGUAACAGUGAACUCUGGGAGCUUGUGUUCAGCUGUGAUUCACAUGCCCUUCUCAUCCUUGAUAAAAUAUCAAUUGGUGCAGAUGAAGAACCAAUUGUGCAGGAUUGCAGGACCAUAUUGCAUUUUUCUGCUGUUAAAAGAUCACUGAACAACAAGGAGUUGAAAAAUACAUAACGUAUUUGGGCUUGUUUCUUAGGAAAAGAUGAUCUGCUGCCUUGAAAAUACCUGCUACAAGGUCAACAGCUUCAAAUUGAAUUGGAGAAAUAUCACAUUAGUGCUGUUGCCCCAGUCCUGAUUGAAAUUCACAUCACACAGGAACAUAAAAACACUUUUGGAGAGAGGAUGUUUCAUCAUCUAAUCACAGGACAGUUUUCAAGAUGCAUAGAAGAACAAAGUGAAUUAGAAGGAAUGUUUUAAUACUAUCAAAAUAAAAAGCAGGAAUUAGGACUAUCAUCAUUUCAAACACACACAAAUAAUAAAUUAAAGUCCUGUAUUCACCUGCAUCUCUAUUUUUCU
This is a long non-coding RNA of Falco peregrinus (peregrine falcon), 2700 nucleotides long. RefSeq lists it as uncharacterized. The record is from RefSeq and is a predicted model, not a curated record. Lineage: Eukaryota; Metazoa; Chordata; Aves; Falconiformes; Falconidae. The transcript has 7 exons.